UUAAAACCUUCUAGAAUCCAACGCUUCUUCGAUAUAUCCCUCUCUACCCGUCACUUCAUUUUCUCCCUCAUUGCUUUUCUUUUGGUUCUCUCCAUCUCAAAGUUUCGGUUAUGUCAUCGAAACGCAUCGUUAAGGAGCUCAAGGGUUUGCAGAAGGAUCGUCCUACGUCCAGUGCAGAAACCUUCUGUUCUUACGGGGCUGAAAUGUACGUGUAAGACACGUCUACAAGAAACACUACUCAACUAUCGUCUUCUUCUCAAUCCGAUAUGUAUUUGGUUAUCUUAGUGCAAAGGCUGAAAUGGCCAGCAAACUUGAGCUUCCAGACUUCGGUUGUAUUCACCUGAUAUUUCAUUUUUCACAGUUGAAAUGAUCAGUGAAGAGUUGUUCUGCUACUACAACUUUGCCUUCAGGGCUGGCUGUUACUAAUUUGGAGCCCCCUAGUCUUGAAGCUUUUUUGGCUACUAGGACAGGCAACAAUGUCAGGAAUGGCUGAUCCUGUGGAAGUCACAGUCUGCAGAGGAAGCCUCAUGGGAAAUGGCAACUUCUAUUAUUGAGAAAUAUCCCAAUAUUUGCCUUGAAGACAUGGAAACUUUCAUACGGGGUGGUAUUGAUAGGAAACUACCUUCUAAGUGGGAUAGGCCUUUUUAGACAUGCCAUCUAAACGCACAAACAGUAUGGGGCGUAAUAUUAUCUAUUAGUGGAGAGUUAACUAGAGGAGAGGAGUGUUGUGUGGUUCUUUUAUGUGGUGAUCCAAUCGUUUGUGAGGGGAUGAUAUCAGAUUUGGAAAUAGACAUUGAAGACAAGGGAACAUUUCUCUGACUUUGGGGAGAUUGCUCUAUUGAUUCUUCUUUCUUUGUUAUUUUCUUGUUUUUCUGCAGCACCUCUGAUACAAAUUGUAGCUUCUUCUCUUUUCUUGCAAAUUUAGUGAAGAGUGGUCUUGGAAAGCAUUCCUAGUAACAAAAUUAAAUUGUUGGAUGAUGUUAUUACAGUCUUGAUUUUCCUCAUGUUAAGAAUUUUUCUGUUCUUUGCUUGUUUCAGUCUCCUGUCUUUUGUAUGCAUAAUUUUUCUCUUUGAUAUGGGGACUGAUGAUCUUAAGCACCCAUGCUGGCUGCUAGUCAAGUUCUUCAAUAUCUGUCAAGUGUUGUAGUUUAGAAAUUCUGAAUUUAACGUCUGAGUACUGCAGGUUGCCUUUAAGACUAGGUAUUCCACCCAAACAUCAACAUUAAUGGAAGCAUAUGUGUUGACAUUCUAAAAUAACAAUGGAGCCUGACCUUAACCAUUUCUAAGGUUUGAUAUUACUUGUGUUUCGUGAUUUUUUAUGAUUUUGCAUAACGGUUUUAGCAUUUGUAAUUUCUGUGUUACCAUAUCCUCUUAUUUUGACAUUCGACAUUGGAAUAAUAUGUAUUUCUGGCAUAUUAUUGCUCGUGGCUACAACAUAAAUACAAACCUUGUUAUGGCCCUGUUUGGAUACAUUAAGGUAUGAACUUUUUUUAGCAGAGGAACUCCCAAAGUCACUUCUACUUGAAAUGUUGAGAAAUUGGAGCUUAUACUCAAAUCGAGGAGUGAGAUUAUUUUCAACCAUAAAAAUUGUCUAUCAUGUACUGUAACUUGUUUAGUUUCUAUUGAUAUGUGAAACUGUUGUGUCAUGAUGUUUUUAAUGCUUCGAAAUUUAACUAAAGACUUGUUUACUGCUUAUGUUUAAGAAUUAUAUUGAAAAAACUGUGAACCUUCUUAGAAA
Molecule: unclassified non-coding RNA, 1738 nt
Organism: Vigna unguiculata (cowpea)
Lineage: Eukaryota; Viridiplantae; Streptophyta; Magnoliopsida; Fabales; Fabaceae
Source: RefSeq, a predicted model, not a curated record